RNAcentral lists this long non-coding RNA (287 nucleotides) under Panax ginseng (ginseng). RNAcentral's name for it is "long non-coding RNA (PGIN_LNC019160)". The record is from RNAcentral. Lineage: Eukaryota; Viridiplantae; Streptophyta; Magnoliopsida; Apiales; Araliaceae.
UACAGUAAUGAUACAAUGCAAUACAACAUGAUGUUAUGGAUGUUAAAUGUUUUAGUUGGAGUUAGUUCCAAUGGCUUUCACCAUCGGUUUCUCCCGAUGUUUCUGCUGGGAUUGACUCCACUGAUUUUUUUUUUUGAUUUCCAUUCGUGUUGCCGAUGUAUGUUUGAUGAAGAUAUACUGAGAUGUUUUCUAUAUAUGUGAUGGGGAUGAUGUUCUGAAAUUACCAGACCUUCUUGAUGUCUAUGCUAAUAGUUUACAAUGGUGCCUACCCUGCUGGUAGUUGACAA